AUUGAACGCUGGCGGCAGGCCUAACACAUGCAAGUCGAACGGUAACAGGAAACAGCUUGCUGUUUCGCUGACGAGUGGCGGACGGGUGAGUAAUGUCUGGGAAACUGCCUGAUGGAGGGGGAUAACUACUGGAAACGGUAGCUAAUACCGCAUAACGUCGCAAGACCAAAGAGGGGGACCUUCGGGCCUCUUGCCAUCAGAUGUGCCCAGAUGGGAUUAGCUAGUAGGUGGGGUAACGGCUCACCUAGGCGACGAUCCCUAGCUGGUCUGAGAGGAUGACCAGCCACACUGGAACUGAGACACGGUCCAGACUCCUACGGGAGGCAGCAGUGGGGAAUAUUGCACAAUAGGCGCAAGCCUGAUGCAGCCAUGCCGCGUGUAUGAAGAAGGCCUUCGGGUUGUAAAGUACUUUCAGCGGGGAGGAAGGGAGUAAAGUUAAUACCUUUGCUCAUUGACGUUACCCGCAGAAGAAGCACCGGCUAACUCCGUG
This 490-nucleotide ribosomal RNA is filed under the name uncultured bacterium. RNAcentral describes it as "partial 16S ribosomal RNA". It matches the Rfam family "Bacterial small subunit ribosomal RNA", at positions 30 to 507 of the family's 1533-position model. The record is from RNAcentral.